UUGAACGCUGGCGGCAGGCCUAACACAUGCAAGUCGAACGGUAACAGCAAGCAGCUUGCUGCUUUGCUGACGAGUGGCGGACGGGUGAGUAAUGUCUGGGAAACUGCCUGAUGGAGGGGGAUAACUACUGGAAACGGUAGCUAAUACCGCAUAACGUCGCAAGACCAAAGAGGGGGACCUUCGGGCCUCUUGCCAUCGGAUGUGCCCAGAUGGGAUUAGCUAGUAGGUGGGGUAAAGGCUCACCUAGGCGACGAUCCCUAGCUGGUCUGAGAGGAUGACCAGCCACACUGGAACUGAGACACGGUCCAGACUCCUACGGGAGGCAGCAGUGGGGAAUAUUGCACAAUGGGCGCAAGCCUGAUGCAGCCAUGCCGCGUGUAUGAAGAAGGCCUUCGGGUUGUAAAGUACUUUCAGCGGGGAGGAAGGGAGUAAAGUUAAUACCUUUGCUCAUUGACGUUACCCGCAGAAGAAGCACCGGCUAACUCCGUG
This 489-nucleotide ribosomal RNA is filed under the name uncultured bacterium. RNAcentral's name for it is "partial 16S ribosomal RNA". It matches the Rfam family "Bacterial small subunit ribosomal RNA", at positions 30 to 507 of the family's 1533-position model. The record is from RNAcentral.